AUUGAACGCUGGCGGCAGGCCUAACACAUGCAAGUCGGACGGUAACAGGAAGCAGCUUGCUGCUUUGCUGACGAGUGGCGGACGGGUGAGUAAUGUCUGGGAAACUGCCUGAUGGAGGGGGAUAACUACUGGAAACGGUAGCUAAUACCGCAUAACGUCGCAAGACCAAAGAGGGGGACCUUAGGGCCUCUUGCCAUCAGAUGUGCCCGGAUGGGAUUAGCUGGUUGGUGGGGUAACGGCUCACCAAGGCGACGAUCCCUAGCUGGUCUGAGAGGAUGACCAGCCACACUGGAACUGAGACACGGUCCAGACUCCUACGGGAGGCAGCAGUGGGGAAUAUUGCACAAUGGGCGCAAGCCUGAUGCAGCCAUGCCGCGUGUAUGAAGAAGGCCUUCGGGUUGUAAAGUACUCUCAGCGGGGAGGAAGGGGAGAAGGUUAUUAACCUUUUUCAUUGACGUUACCCGCAGAAGAAGCACCGGCUAACUCCGUGCCAGCAGCCGCCGUAA
This 506-nucleotide ribosomal RNA is filed under the name uncultured bacterium. RNAcentral's name for it is "partial 16S ribosomal RNA". It matches the Rfam family "Bacterial small subunit ribosomal RNA", at positions 30 to 523 of the family's 1533-position model. The record is from RNAcentral.